UACGUAGGGGACGAGCGUUGUCCGGAAUUAUUGGGCGUAAAGAGCGUGUAGGCGGCUUUUCAAGUCCUGCGUGAAAUCUCGAGGCUCAACCUCGAGCGGUCGUGGGAAACUGGAGGGCUAGAGUGCGGGAGAGGGAAGUGGAAUUCCAGGUGUAGCGGUGAAAUGCGCAGAUAUCUGGAAGAACACCCGUGGCGAAGGCGGCUUCCUGGAACGACACUGACGCUGAGACGCGAAAGCGUGGGGAGCAAACAGG
Molecule: ribosomal RNA, 253 nt
Filed under: uncultured bacterium
Lineage: Bacteria
Description: partial 16S ribosomal RNA
Rfam family: Bacterial small subunit ribosomal RNA
Source: RNAcentral